GUCAACUUUAUGGGUUACAUGCCAAUGACUGCUAUUAAUAUUAUUAUAAAGUUGAGAACAGAAGCCUCCCCAAAUGGAGAAGCACUGUUUGUUUAUUUCUUUAACAUGAGAAGAAGCUUCUGCUUGGCAGCAGAUCGGGAUACAUUACUAAGUUGAAACGAAAAUUUUAAAGCAACAACACGACGCCGUAAUGACUUUUAUAUUCCUUGCUCAUUUUCGUCCUAAUCAGUUGUUCACACAAUUGAGAGAUGGGAGAUGGCACAGGGAUGGAAGGCGGGCAGCGAUGGCCAAAGUGUUGCAGAGGCAGUCAUUCUGAACCGACUGGAGCGCGUUACAACAUUCAGUACUAGGGUUGCCGUGGGCACCAGGCACCACAAAUGGUGCACAUACAUUCAGGGUGUUCAGCUGGCUUGGGCAGCUCUGCGACUCACCCAGGUGGGUCAGCGCCGAAACUGCUAUGAACAGGACAAGCACUGCUGCUUGCGACCUCACAGAGACAGAGAUCAGGGACUUGAGAGCUGCCAUUUCCGAUCAGUUUUG
This 540-nucleotide unclassified non-coding RNA is filed under the name Hevea brasiliensis (rubber tree). Lineage: Eukaryota; Viridiplantae; Streptophyta; Magnoliopsida; Malpighiales; Euphorbiaceae. The record is from RNAcentral.